ACGAGCAGGAGCACGUUCAGACAGACAGGCGAUCGGUUCAAAACCAAGCCACGUGCUGCCUCUCAUCGCUCAGCCUGUGUGCGACUACGCUUUGCCAACUCGCGCAGGCUGCAGCCCAAACAUGUGACGCUCAACUCUGAGGGGGUAUGGAUCGGUUCCUGAAAGCCAUCCUGAUGGACGUGAGGAGCUGUGACGCUGAGGAACAGUGCAGGACAAACACAGUAGGCAGGAACCUCCGACGCCCCAGAAGACACAGUGGAGAAGUCACACAACUUGAUUAAUUUCACAGUGAGAAGUCGUUGCUAACAUCCCAAGCAUUGAUCAUCAUACACCCUGUGCGGCACAAAGUGGUAUUGAGAGGGGGGCCAAUAUGUGACAUUGAUUGGUGGAAUAAUGGGGCUUCAAGAAGAGUUGAACACAAAGAGCGAGCGCCACAGACGAGGGGACGACAGCUGGACGCCGUGAAAGUGGCUGCGUGUGGACUUUGGGCUUCUCGCGUCCGUCUGUCUCACUGCCUGUGGAGCGACGGCCGCCACGUUUCCAACCAUGCAUGCGUGAGGAACGUUACACAGCUGCUGCAUCACGAGCCCAGGUUCUGGUCGUCUCUGCGUCUCUGA
This 617-nucleotide long non-coding RNA is filed under the name Betta splendens (Siamese fighting fish). RNAcentral describes it as "lncRNA (ENSBSLG00000019469.1)". The record is from RNAcentral. Lineage: Eukaryota; Metazoa; Chordata; Actinopteri; Anabantiformes; Osphronemidae.